RNAcentral lists this ribosomal RNA (390 nucleotides) under uncultured bacterium. RNAcentral describes it as "bacterial SSU rRNA". It matches the Rfam family "Bacterial small subunit ribosomal RNA", at positions 28 to 420 of the family's 1533-position model. The record is from RNAcentral.
AUUGAACGCUGGCGGCAUGCUUUACACAUGCAAGUCGAACGGCAGCGGGGGCUUCGGCCUGCCGGCGAGUGGCGAACGGGUGAGUAAUGCAUCGGAACGUGCCCAGUAGUGGGGGAUAGCCCGGCGAAAGCCGGAUUAAUACCGCAUACGACCUGAGGGUGAAAGCGGGGGAUCGCAAGACCUCGCGCUAUUGGAGCGGCCGAUGUCAGAUUAGGUAGUUGGUGGGGUAAAGGCCUACCAAGCCGACGAUCUGUAGCUGGUCUGAGAGGACGACCAGCCACACUGGGACUGAGACACGGCCCAGACUCCUACGGGAGGCAGCAGUGGGGAAUUUUGGACAAUGGGCGCAAGCCUGAUCCAGCCAUGCCGCGUGCGGGAAGAAGGCCUCGG